AAAUUUACUCAUUGGAAAGCUGUUAUAUUCAAUGUUUGUAAGAAAUAAGCCAUAGAUUAGGAAUAACAAUUGUUAUGGUACUCUCUGUUGGGGAAAAAGAAUGAAGUUCUGUUUUCAGUUAUAACCCAUGAGUUCUUAAUAUGUGCACCAGGAGGUUUUAUACAUGAGGAAUUUUGAAUGAGUUUUUAAAAGUCAGUAAAGCACCUGUAAUCCCAGCUACUCGGGAGGCUGAGGCAGGAGAAUCACUUGAACCUAGUAGGCGGAGGUUGCAGUGAGCCGAGAUCGUGCCAUUGCACUCCAGCCUGGGCAACAGGGUGAGACUCCCUCUAAAAAAAAAAAAAAAAAAAAAAAAAUUAAUUAAUUAAUGAAAAAAUAAAAAAUAAAAAAAGAAGUCAGUAAAAAUGAAAGUGCAAGAUGUGAAUAAAAGAAAUGAAAUGAUGCUGAUUCAUUAAAAUAUUUAAUAAAGUAUGUCUUGCUAGUUCC
This 483-nucleotide long non-coding RNA is filed under the name Pan troglodytes (chimpanzee). RNAcentral describes it as "lincRNA". Lineage: Eukaryota; Metazoa; Chordata; Mammalia; Primates; Hominidae. The record is from RNAcentral.